UGAAAUAACCACACACAGAAUUCGUGUGAUCGCAAAAUGGCGGUUAAACCUGGAGAGAAAAGGAACUGUUUAAAAAUAAGCAAUGCUUUCCAGAAAGAGAUACACCAAGUUUUGUAAUUGAAGGAGAAGGUUAUACAUUAUUGUAAUCAUGGCUUUUGAACGUUUUUUUUAGUUUCAAUGAAAACAGUGGCUAUGCCAAAGUCUGAAAAUUCACUUUCUCUUUUCCUCUACUUUCUUGUAUCAAAACGAUUUGCAUUGAAAAGAUGCUACGGAUAUUAUAUGCUUUAUUGAGUUGCUUUGACUGUCUCCAGUAUCGUCGAUUCCAUCCCAGCUAGCACCACGUAACGUUCAAAUAACGUUACGCUUAAGUUCUAUUUAGGUUAUGAUCACACAGAACGUUCCCAGAACGUUUUCAGAACGUUCUAACAAAACUCACACUAUCAGUAUUCGUAACUUAUUUUAGUUAUAUAAAAUAUAUAUUAUGAAAGUCACAUUAUAACAGUGUAUUUUUACGAUCCUAGGAUGUAUUGGUGGACUUUAAAGUUUAACGUUCCUGUAACGUUCUUACAACGUUUUUGUCGGAACGUUAUCGGGAAACCAAAUUUCAAAGUUACAUCCCAAACGUUCGCAGAACAUUAUAAGAACGUUUAGCAAUCACACAAUAUAAACAUGUACAUUAAAUUGUUAUAUGUUUUCAUAAAGAAUUUGACGUUUUUUUUGUUGUGUUUUUUUUAAAUAUAAAAUACGUGUAUAAGUAGAUUUGCAUUUUGACCCGUUUGUGUAUCUUCGAAUGUUUGCAAGCGCGAUUCUCUUGUUAUCUAAACCAGCAUGUUUAUGGUGUACUUAAUAAACUACAUGUAUUGUUUAUAAGUUUAUUAUACAUCCAUUAUAAAUAUAUCAUCAGGCAACUUGAUGGUGCGCGUGUAUGUGGGGAGCGCUAGCAAUAGACUGAGUAAACUGCGGAGGCAUGUAUGUAUAUACUAACAGAGUGGCAUGGCGUAUGACUCAUGCAUUCAAUUUAAGGCCUAUACUGUUACACAGCAGAUCUCCCGCGUGCGUUCCACUCUAUUCAUGUGUUCACUGACCUACUCAGUACUGGCUAAUUGGAUUUUAAAAACUUUGCUGUUGUUGAAAGUUAACCUUUUUGUUCAACAAUAAGAGAAGUUGGAACUUACACUCGACGAUAAUCAACAUUUUGCGAGGACAACUGGGAAGACACCCGUACAGAUCCGGAUUCAAGACAAAAAAGAACAACAAUGCGAUGAUAUAUAUUUGUAUUAAUUACACUCAUGCAAUAAACUUGUGUAUAAUAAAAAUGUGUUGGUUUUUAACCUCAAUACGACAAUUAGAUUUAGGCUCGUUUUAGGUUAAAUGAUAACGUUAUUCCGCAACGUUUCUGGAACGUUAAGCGAACCAUACAUUUUAACGUUAGGAGAACGUUGCAGUGAAACGUUUCUGGAACGUUUGGGCUAACGUUAGGAUAACGUUCUAAGAACGUUUUUGUGCUAGCUGGGAUAGUAAACAACAACUAUUUUUGUGAAAACUAAGCUAAUUAGUUUGAGUUGAUAUAUGAUCAAGUAUUGUGUAAUUGAUCUCUAGAAUUUCUCAGCGUAAACAACCUGGUUCCCGAGCUCCGAAAUAUCAAUUUCUUUUCUCUUCUUAUUUGCCUCGAAGCGACUUCCAUGUUGAGCGCCGACUAAGUUCAUGAUGGUUGAAAGAAGGAAUACGGCGAUCCCGUAAGCCAGUAGCGUAUAAAGGAACGUCUUCGGCCCGUAGUUAUCGAAGAGGAAUCCCAUGACCUUCAUGUAGGCAAUUCCGCCGACGGAGCCACCGAGAAGGAAUAUGGUGAUUGCGAUACCGGUGACGUCGAUGUGGAAGUUUGCCCAGCUUAUACCGGACGGGAAGAGGGGCGCGAUGAACACGCCAAAGAUCGGCAUGAUCACCCACAGCGCAAGGUGACUCCUAGUACCGAGGAAGACGAGUGCGAUGCCAGAGGCCAGGCAUCCACCAGUCUCGAUCAUGAUAAGGAUCCGAAUGGGCACCCAGUGCGCCGCGACGAAUGCGCCUAUGCGGCCACACGUAAAAGCUAUCCAGAAGACCGUGUUAAGAUAGAUAGCGUCGUCUUGGGAAAAGUCGAGGUACUCGAUGGCGUAGGAGCGAAUAAACUUCCCUGCGAUUCGCUCGCCGC
Dreissena polymorpha is the source of this 2188-nucleotide long non-coding RNA. RefSeq lists it as uncharacterized. NCBI's taxonomy places the organism in Eukaryota, Metazoa, Mollusca, Bivalvia, Myida, Dreissenidae. The record is from RefSeq and is a predicted model, not a curated record. The transcript is spliced from 2 exons.